Molecule: ribosomal RNA, 253 nt
Filed under: uncultured bacterium
Lineage: Bacteria
Description: partial 16S ribosomal RNA
Rfam family: Bacterial small subunit ribosomal RNA
Source: RNAcentral
UACGGAGGGGGCUAGCGUUGUUCGGAAUGACUGGGUGUAAAGGGCGCGUAGGCGGUGUUUUAAGUGAGGCGUGAAAGCCCUGAGCUCAACUCAGGAGGUGCGUUUCAUACUGAAAUACUAGAGUGCGAGAGAGGAAAGUGGAAUUCCUAGUGUAGAGGUGAAAUUCGUAGAUAUUAGGAAGAACACCAGAGGCGAAGGCGGCUUUCUGGCUCGCAACUGACGCUGAGGCGCGAAAGCGUGGGGAGCAAACAGG